CGGUCUGUAGCUCAGUCGGUCAGAGCGCUUGGUUGAAGCCCAGGAGGUCGCAGGUUCGAAUCCUGCCGGAUCGGCCA
This 77-nucleotide transfer RNA is filed under the name Nocardia huaxiensis. RNAcentral describes it as "Nocardia sp. WCH-YHL-001 tRNA-Phe". It matches the Rfam family "tRNA". From Rfam's summary of the family: Transfer RNA (tRNA) molecules are approximately 80 nucleotides in length. Their secondary structure includes four short double-helical elements and three loops (D, anti-codon, and T loops). The record is from RNAcentral. Lineage: Bacteria; Bacillati; Actinomycetota; Actinomycetes; Mycobacteriales; Nocardiaceae.